Molecule: long non-coding RNA, 2409 nt
Filed under: Nicotiana benthamiana
Lineage: Eukaryota; Viridiplantae; Streptophyta; Magnoliopsida; Solanales; Solanaceae
Description: long non-coding RNA (NBEN_LNC029965)
Source: RNAcentral
UCAUAUAAUAUCUAAGGGAACAACUGAAAUACAACUAGAAAGAAAGGUGGAGAGAAAAGGCAUGCGAACGCCGUGUAGUUACCUCCAUGAUUUCCUAAGUCAGGAGCCUUGAUCAACAACUUCCACUGGAUCCAAAAUGUCUGAAUCUGCACAUGAGGUGUAGGGAGUAAGGUGAAUACACCAACUCAGUAAGUAGCAAGUCAAACCUUUGGACUAAUAGGUAGUGACGAACUCAAACUCAUCAAAGGUAAUAUAAUUAAUUUACAUAAACAUAGGCAUGAUUUUAAUUAAAUAAAAAGCUCGAACAGUAAAACAUAGUAGUUUAUACAUGGUAAGGAAAUGUAACUCUGCUAUGUCUACAUGCCAAUGCAUAUGUUGUAUGAAAUGCACCAUGCUGAGUGACUCAUGUGACCACAAUCUAAAUUCUCGUCCACUCAAUAUUGUAUGGCUCGCCCAAGGAAGAUCCAUCGCGGAUUAUAUACAUCUCUGACAGCAGUCACUCAGUACGGAUGAAGGCCAUUCCAGCCUAUGGAGAAGAUCCAUCUCCAAACAAUAACAACAACUACUCGGUACCGUAUAUGGCUCACAAGGCCUAAUGAAGAUACAUAUAUACACAUCACUGAUAACAGCCAUCCAUUACCAAGGAAGGCCAUUCCAGCCCUAUGGAGAAGUUCCAUCUCUAGGUAUAAAUACUUUGGACAAUGUCCAUGUCCAGGGAAGAUCCAUCCCUCAUUAUCAUCAAUUGCGCUCAAUGGGGUGUAAAGACUCGGAAGGGAUUCUCUUAGCCCAAUCAUUAUAACAAGCCAAUGAAUACAUAUUCAAUAUCUCGCUGUGACGUCCAUCCCAAUCUCAUACUGUCACUCAAUAUCAGGCUCUCGGCCUCACUCAGUCAUCAUUCUCCAGUCUCUCACAUACGAGCUCAAAUUCAUUAUACUAUCCCCGUAAAUGAUAUGAUGUGUCAAGUAACAAUAAUCGAGACUGAGCCAUAAUAUAAUAUGCAUGAACAGGACAGAGUAUAAAAUAUCAAUAAAGCUAAUGAUAUGACAACAAGAAACGACCUCUUGGGUCUCAACAAUAUUGGCGUGAAACCUUAACAUGAUAAUUAGCAUAAUUGCAGCUUAUUAACUUAAUCACAUAACUACAACAUAGAUAUAAUCAAGUAUUGGGUUCAAAAAUCGUACCACAAGCGUUUAUCCCUUGAAUCCCUAUCCAAAUCCUCUCAAAAAGCUCUCAAGCCGUCUAAAAAAUGGUGCAACAGAUCUUAAAAUCGCGAAGGAAAGCAUAUAUAGUUUCUGCCCAGGUGUUCCCGAACCUGCGGACCAAUUACCGCACCAGUGGACCACUUCUAUGGUCAAAAUAACUGCACCUGGGGUUUUCACUUAAGGGCCAAUUCUGCAUCUGUGGUUAGAACCGUCCGCACCUGCGAUCCGGCUCCAAAUGACCAAAAUCGCUUUUGCGACCUCUUCCAUGCAUCUACGACACCGCAUUUUGCGGUCCCCAAUUCACAGAUGCAGUUACGACAGGAAUAGAGCUGUCAAUAUGAGCUGGCCCGGGCUAGCCUAACCCAACCCACGUGGGCUUGAGCAAUUGACGGGCUGGGAUGGGCUAGCCCACCAUUUUGGUGGGCUUUAUAAUAGUCAGCGCAACCCAGCCCUACGUGGGCGACGGGCCCCCAUGGGCAGGGCCAUCAUUUUUUAAAAUAUAAUUUUAUAUUUUUUCUUUAACUUCUAACGUAAAAAAAAUAUUUAAAAGUUAAAAAAUAUCUUAUUGAAAUUUUUUUUGCAAAACUUAGUAACAUUUUAAACUAUUCCAAUAUAUCACAAUAAAUACUAAAACGUAAAAGACAAGACUAUAUUUCAAUCACUAAAAGCCAAAACUCAAAAUAAACUAUUCAAGAGAACGUCCAUGAUGCUUACGGGAUAUCCAACACAUCAUCUUCAUCAAACACAUUUGAAUCCGCUUGUGACAGGGUUGUCUUAACAUCUUCACUUUCAUCAACAUCUACAGUUCGUAUGCAAUAUUAAUUAGUUAAAUAUUAAGAGUACUUGAAUUAAUAAUAUUCAAAUUCAGAAAAAAAAUAUUACCAGUUUGAGUAUGGGAAAAGUCGUGCCACCAAUUUCGAGUAGUAACAAGUGUUUGGAUAAUUUAUCGGGGAGUGUCUGAAAAAAAUAUAUAUUCUUGUUUUAGUUACAGAGAAUACAGAUAGCAUUUAGAAGUUCUUCAAACCUAGUUUAAUAUUCAAUGAAAAAUAUUAUAAAUCUGAUCAUUAAUAUUAUCACUAUUUAAAAUCAUAACAACAAAUUUAAGAACUAAACAAAAAGAUACAACAAUAAAGUUAUUAUGAGAAAAAGAAAGAAAACUAACCUGUACGUCGUGGACUACGAGAGUGAAAGAGAGUUCCAGUUCCAA